GACGAACGCUGGCGGCGUGCUUAACACAUGCAAGUCGAACGGAAAGGCCCUGCUCUUGUGGGGUGCUCGAGUGGCGAACGGGGGAGUAACACGUGAGUAACCUGCCCUUGACUUUGGGAUAACUUCAGGAAACUGGGGCGAAUACCGGAUAGGAGCUCCUGCUGCAUGGUGGGGGUUGGAAAGUUUCGGCGGUUGGGGAUGGCCUCGCGGCUUAUCAGCUGGUUGGUGGGGUAGUGGCUUCCCAAGGCUUUGAAGGGUAGCCGGCCUGAGAGGGUGACCGGCCACCUUGGGCCUGCGAUACGGCCCAGUCUCCUACGGGCGGCAGCGGUGGGGAGUAUUGCACAAUGGGCGGAAGUCUGAUGCAGAAACGCCGCGUGCGGGAUGCCGGCCUUCGGGUUGUAAACCGCUUUCUCCUGUGCCGAAGCGUGAGUGACGGUACUGGGUAAAGAAGCACCGGCUAACUACGUG
RNAcentral lists this ribosomal RNA (468 nucleotides) under uncultured bacterium. Its description in RNAcentral is "partial 16S ribosomal RNA". It matches the Rfam family "Bacterial small subunit ribosomal RNA", at positions 28 to 507 of the family's 1533-position model. The record is from RNAcentral.